This 253-nucleotide ribosomal RNA is filed under the name uncultured bacterium. RNAcentral's name for it is "partial 16S ribosomal RNA". It matches the Rfam family "Bacterial small subunit ribosomal RNA", at positions 524 to 776 of the family's 1533-position model. The record is from RNAcentral.
UACGGAGGGUGCAAGCGUUAAUCGGAAUUACUGGGCGUAAAGCGCGCGUAGGUGGUUAAGUCAGUCAGAUGUGAAAGCCCCGGGCUCAACCUGGGAAUUGCACCUGAUACUGCUUGACUCGAGUACGGUAGAGGGGUGUGGAAUUUCCUGUGUAGCGGUGAAAUGCGUAGAUAUAGGAAGGAACAUCAGUGGCGAAGGCGACACCCUGGACUGAUACUGACACUGAGGUGCGAAAGCGUGGGGAGCAAACAGG